RNAcentral lists this ribosomal RNA (466 nucleotides) under uncultured bacterium. RNAcentral describes it as "partial 16S ribosomal RNA". It matches the Rfam family "Bacterial small subunit ribosomal RNA", at positions 28 to 507 of the family's 1533-position model. The record is from RNAcentral.
GAUGGACGCUGGCGGCGUGCUUAACACAUGCAAGUCGAACGAUGAAGCCCAGCUUGCUGGGUGGAUUAGUGGCGAACGGGUGAGUAACACGUGAGUAACCUGCCCUUGACUCUGGGAUAAGCCUGGGAAACUGGGUCUAAUACUGGAUAUGACUUCUCAUCGCAUGGUGGGGGGUGGAAAGAUUUAUUGGUCUUGGAUGGACUCGCGGCCUAUCAGCUUGUUGGUGAGGUAAUGGCUCACCAAGGCGACGACGGGUAGCCGGCCUGAGAGGGUGACCGGCCACACUGGGACUGAGACACGGCCCAGACUCCUACGGGAGGCAGCAGUGGGGAAUAUUGCACAAUGGGCGCAAGCCUGAUGCAGCGACGCCGCGUGAGGGAUGACGGCCUUCGGGUUGUAAACCUCUUUCAGUAGGGAAGAAGCGAGAGUGACGGUACCUGCAGAAGAAGCGCCGGCUAACUACGUG